UAAGCAUAUCAAUAAGCGGAGGAAAAGAAACCAACAGGGAUUGCCUCAGUAACGGCGAGUGAAGCGGCAACAGCUCAAAUUUGAAAUCUGGCCUCUUUGGGGUCCGAGUUGUAAUUUGUAGAGGAUGUUUCGGGUACCGCCUCGGUCUAAAUUUCUUGGAACAGAAUGUCAAAGAGGGUGAGAAUCCCGUCUUGGACCGGCGGUAGGGCCCAUGUGAAACUCCUUCGACGAGUCGAGUUGUUUGGGAAUGCAGCUCAAAAUGGGUGGUAAAUUUCAUCUAAAGCUAAAUAUUGGCCAGAGACCGAUAGCGCACAAGUAGAGUGAUCGAAAGAUGAAAAGCACUUUGAAAAGAGAGUUAAACAGUAUGUGAAAUUGUUGAAAGGGAAGCGCUUGCAACCAGACUUGAGCGCGGCGGUUCCCCCUUCCUUUUGGUUGGGUUACUCCGCCGUGUCCAGGCCAACAUCGGUUCUGGGGGUCGGUUAAAGGCUCGAGGAAUGUAUCUACUCCUUCGGGGGUAGACUUAUAGCCUCGGGUGUCAUGCGACCUCCCGGGACCGAGGAACGCGCUUCGGCUCGGAUGUUGGCGUAAUGGUUGUCAGCGACCCGUCUUGAAACACGGACCAAGGAGUCUAACAUCUAUGCGAGUGUUUGGGUGUCAAACCCGGAACGCGGAAUGAAAGUGAACGGAGGUAGGAAGCCGCAAGGCUGCACUAUCGACCGAUCCUGAUGUCUUCGGAUGGAUUUGAGUAAGAGCAUAGCUGUUGGGACCCGAAAGAUGGUGAACUAUGCCUGAAUAGGGUGAAGCCAGAGGAAACUCUGGUGGAGGCUCGCAGCGGUUCUGACGUGCAAAUCGAUCGUCAAAUUUGGGUAUAGGGGCGAAAGACUAAUCGAACCAUCUGGUAGCUGGUUCCUGCCGAA
RNAcentral lists this ribosomal RNA (917 nucleotides) under Exophiala xenobiotica. Its description in RNAcentral is "LSU rRNA". It matches the Rfam family "Eukaryotic large subunit ribosomal RNA", at positions 35 to 965 of the family's 3401-position model. Lineage: Eukaryota; Fungi; Ascomycota; Eurotiomycetes; Chaetothyriales; Herpotrichiellaceae. The record is from RNAcentral.